This 374-nucleotide ribosomal RNA is filed under the name uncultured bacterium. RNAcentral describes it as "bacterial SSU rRNA". It matches the Rfam family "Bacterial small subunit ribosomal RNA", at positions 29 to 399 of the family's 1533-position model. The record is from RNAcentral.
AGUGAACGCUGGCGGCAGGCCUAAUACAUGCAAGUCGAACGGCAGCACAGUGGAGCUUGCUCCAUGGGUGGCGAGUGGCGGACGGGUGAGGAAUACAUGGGGAUCUGCCCAGUCGUGGGGAUAACGUAUGGAAACGUACGCUAAUACCGCAUGCGCCCUUCGGGGGAAAGUCGGGGACCGCAAGGCCUGACGCGAUUGGAUGAGCCCAUGUUCGAUUAGCUAGUUGGCGGGUAACGGCCCACCAAGGCGACGAUCGAUAGCUGGUCUGAGAGGAUGAUCAGCCACACUGGAACUGAGACACGGUCCAGACUCCUACGGGAGGCAGCAGUAGGGAAUAUUGGGACAAUGGGCGCAAGCCUGAUCCAGCCAUGCCG